This 356-nucleotide ribosomal RNA is filed under the name uncultured bacterium. Its description in RNAcentral is "bacterial SSU rRNA". It matches the Rfam family "Bacterial small subunit ribosomal RNA", at positions 28 to 414 of the family's 1533-position model. The record is from RNAcentral.
GACGAACGCUGGCGGCGUGCUUAACACAUGCAAGUCGAGCGCCCAGCAAUGGGAGCGGCGGACGGGUGAGUAACGCGUGGGAAUUUUUCCUGGAGUACGGAACAACCGAGGGAAACUUCGGCUAAUACCGUAUGAUGCCGAGAGGCCAAAGAUUUAUCGCUCUGGGGUGAGCCCGCGUCAGAUUAGGUAGUUGGUGGGGUAAAGGCCCACCAAGGCGACGAUCCGUAGCUGGUCUGAGAGGAUGAUCAGCCACACUGGAACUGAGGCACGGUCCAGACUCCUACGGGAGGCAGCAGUGGGGAAUAUUGGACAAUGGGCGCAAGCCUGAUCCAGCCAUGCCGCGUGUGUGAAGAAGG